Non-coding RNA from Pelodiscus sinensis (Chinese soft-shelled turtle), 506 nucleotides. The record is from RefSeq and is a predicted model, not a curated record. NCBI's taxonomy places the organism in Eukaryota, Metazoa, Chordata, Testudines, Trionychidae.
CAUAUGAAGCUCAUAUGUAUGGAUGAGUGAGACUGCGGUGGGACCACCUGGCUACUGAGAGCUCCUCCUAUCUGAGACACAGAGUUCCCAAUAGACCUUCAACCAUGAAGAUCCUUUGCCUGAUCCUUGCUGUUUUCCUUCUGGUGCUCCAGGGUGCACCAGAAUUUUCCCAGGCUAAGAAUCCCUUUCUGCAAUGUAGAUUCCAUGGGGGUGAAUGUUACUAUAAGAGAUGUCUCUUCAGUUCUAAGUUCAUGGGAAUGUGUGGGAAACAGUAUAUGUGCUGUCAAAGGUGAUUUACUGACUGAUUCCCUAGGCAGGAUCGCUGGGAAUCUGGAAGACAGAUUCUAAAAUCAUCAGAUCUUGCUUCAAAGGAAGGCUAAAAUUUUGUUUGCUUGGACUGGAAAGAACUUUGUGAGUUGGAGAAAUUUCAGGAGGAGCCUUUGAAUCACCCCGAGAAGAUCUGUGACUCUCCAUUCAAUAAAAGCAAAUUGGUUUCAGACAAUAUG